This 257-nucleotide long non-coding RNA is filed under the name Gossypium barbadense (sea-island cotton). RNAcentral describes it as "long non-coding RNA (GBAR_LNC000012)". Lineage: Eukaryota; Viridiplantae; Streptophyta; Magnoliopsida; Malvales; Malvaceae. The record is from RNAcentral.
CAGUCUUAAAACUCGAACAUAUAUCAUAAAACGUACAUGGAGAAUUAAAAAAAUAAUUUUGCAGUGAGAAAAUUGCAAUCUGGUUUUUUCUCUCGGGAAUAAUGUCAAACACUAGGAGUGCAAAGAACUUGGGUUAACAGUUUAUCCAAGUUCACAAAAUAACCGUCGGGACUAGCAGCUUUCUUUGCUUUCUUCUUCCAUUCAAUGGCUUUUGUUUUCAUUUCCACACCCUUUUCUCCUUCUAUUAACUCCCUAAC